GGUACAACAAGAAUGCAACUAUCUAGCAGGAUGGUUUUCUACAAGAGAAGUUGAUGCUAGAAGAGCACAUGCAUUAGAAAAUCUUCAAGUGGAGCUUAGAAUGGCACAAAGAAAGGUUAUGGUUGAAGCUUGUCUAUUCGAACAAUUAUUGUUU
This is a long non-coding RNA of Alnus glutinosa, 154 nucleotides long. RefSeq lists it as uncharacterized. The transcript is spliced from 2 exons. NCBI's taxonomy places the organism in Eukaryota, Viridiplantae, Streptophyta, Magnoliopsida, Fagales, Betulaceae. The record is from RefSeq and is a predicted model, not a curated record.